UAUAGUAGGAAACAAAAUGAACGAAGUUCAUUUUUUAUAAAUGUUUCCGACGAAUAGCCGCUGACAGAAGGGCAGGGGCAUUACAUAUU
This is a small RNA of Eubacterium sp. CAG:156, 89 nucleotides long. It matches the Rfam family "GA-cis RNA". NCBI's taxonomy places the organism in Bacteria, Bacillati, Bacillota, Clostridia, Eubacteriales, Eubacteriaceae. The record is from Rfam.